Magnolia sinica is the source of this 486-nucleotide long non-coding RNA. RefSeq lists it as uncharacterized. The record is from RefSeq and is a predicted model, not a curated record. The transcript is spliced from 2 exons. NCBI's taxonomy places the organism in Eukaryota, Viridiplantae, Streptophyta, Magnoliopsida, Magnoliales, Magnoliaceae.
AAAUUUUCUUGUUGUUGCUUUGAGCAAAGAAAAACCUCAUGUGAUUGGAGCUUGGUGUGAAGCCAUGGAAUGAUUCCAACUAUCUCUUCUCUUUUUCUUCUCUUCAAGGUUGUGAAUGUUGAAAUAUAUGAAUGCAAAUACGAGUGUGAUUGUUAAUGUAGAAGUGGAUAUGGAUUUUGAAUUGAAUGAAUGAGAAUGUGGAAGUGCAUGUGGGUGUGGAAGUGCAUAUGACUGUUGAUUUGUACCAACGAAGAUGUGGAAGUAGAUAUGGAUGUGGAAGUGGAUAUGAAUGUGGAAGUGGUGGAUUUGUAUGAAUGUGGAUGUGGAAGUGUAUGCAGUUGUGAAAUUUAAAUCGUAUGGUGUAAAAAUAUGGAAGUGCGCUUGGAUGUGGAAGUAGAUGUUAAUGUUGAUUUAUAUGGUGUGCAUGUGAAUGUAGUUGUUAAUGUUGAAUUGUAUGAAUACAAAUAUGGUAGUGCAUGUGGUUGU